Molecule: ribosomal RNA, 1382 nt
Filed under: Onryza maga
Lineage: Eukaryota; Metazoa; Arthropoda; Insecta; Lepidoptera; Hesperiidae
Description: 16S ribosomal RNA
Rfam family: Eukaryotic large subunit ribosomal RNA (bases 1117-1276)
Source: RNAcentral
GGGGGAAAAUUAAUUAAUAAAAAUAACUAAUAAAAUUAAUUUUAUUUGUAUAUAUUUAAUGGGGGUUAAAGUAUACAUAUAAGAAAAAAUUUAAAAAUUUAUAGUUAAAUAGUAUUGUAAAAUAAAUUUGAAAUAAAAUGAAAAUUAAUUAAUUAAUAAGUAAAUUUAAUUUAUUGUAUCUUGUGUAUCAGAGUUUAUUAAAAAAAAUUUUUAUUUAAAAAAAUCUCGAAUUUAAAAGAGAUAAUUAAUUAAAAAAUUUAUUGUUUCAUAAAUAUUUUAAAUAAUUAAUUUGAAAUGAAAUGUUAAUCGUUUUUAAAUAUAUCUAGUUUUUUUAGAAAUAAAUUUAAUUUAUAAUUUAUUACUAUAGGAAAAAAUUAAUUUUUUCCUAUAGUAAUAAAUUAAAUAUUUUAAGGGAUAAUCUUUAAAUUAAAAUUUUAUAAUUAAUAAUUUAUUUUUUAAAAUUUUUAAAAUUUAUAUUGUUUAUAAAUUAUAUUUUUUUAUAAAAAAUUUUAAUAUUAUAAAAAAUUUUUAAUUAAAAUUUAAUUUUUUAUAAAAAAAUAAUUUAUAAUUUUUUUAAAAUUAGAUAUAAUGAUAAAAUUAGUAUAAAUUAUUUAUUUAUGAGAAUAAAUAAUUAAAAAAAUUAAUUAAAAGGAAUUCGGCAAAAAAUUAUAUUCACCUGUUUAUCAAAAACAUGUCUUUUUGAAAAUAAUUUAAAGUCAAAUCUGCCCACUGAUUUAUUAAAGGGCUGCAGUAAAUUGACUGUACAAAGGUAGCAUAAUAAUUAGUCUUUUAAUUGAAGACUUGUAUGAAAGAUUUAAUGAAAUAUAAACUGUCUCUUUUUUAUAUUUUGAAUUUAAUUUUUUAGUAAAAAAGCUAAAAUUUGUUUAAAAGACGAGAAGACCCUAUAGAGUUUUAUAUUUAAUUUAAUUUUUAAUUUUUAUUAAUAUUAAAUAAAAAUUAAAUAAAAUAUUUUAUUGGGGUGAUAAAAAAAUAAAAUUAACUUUUUUUUAGAAUGAUAUAUAUAUAUAUAUUAUAUAUAUAUAUAUAUAUAUUAUAAACAUUAAUUUAUGAAAAAAUGAUCCAUAAUUUAUGAUUAAAAGAAAAAAUUACCUUAGGGAUAACAGCGUAAUUUUUUUUUUUAGUUCAAAUAAAAAAAAAAGUUUGCGACCUCGAUGUUGGAUUAAGAUAAAAUUUAAAUGUAGAAGUUUAAAAUUUUUGAUCUGUUCGAUCAUUAAAAUCUUACAUGAUCUGAGUUCAAACCGGUGUGAGCCAGGUUGGUUUCUAUCUUUAAAAAAUUAAAAUAUUUUAGUACGAAAGGAUCAAAUAUUUAAAAUAAUUUUAGUUAAAAGAAUUUUUUUAAUAGCAUAUAUAUAUAUAUAUAU